UACGAAGGGGGCUAGCGUUGUUCGGAAUCACUGGGCGUAAAGGGCGCGUAGGCGGCCGAUCAAGUCGGGGGUGAAAGCCUGCGGCUCAACCACAGAAUUGCCUUCGAUACUGUUUGGCUUGAGACCGGAAGAGGUAAGUGGAGCUGCGAGUGUAGAGGUGAAAUUCGUAGAUAUUCGCAAGAACACCAGUGGCGAAGGCGGCUUACUGGUCCGGUUCUGACGCUGAGGCGCGAAAGCGUGGGGAGCAAACAGG
RNAcentral lists this ribosomal RNA (253 nucleotides) under uncultured bacterium. RNAcentral's name for it is "partial 16S ribosomal RNA". It matches the Rfam family "Bacterial small subunit ribosomal RNA", at positions 524 to 776 of the family's 1533-position model. The record is from RNAcentral.